Molecule: ribosomal RNA, 202 nt
Filed under: uncultured microorganism
Description: partial 16S ribosomal RNA
Rfam family: Archaeal small subunit ribosomal RNA
Source: RNAcentral
GCGCAGCAGGCGCGAAAACUUCACACUGUGCGAAAAGCACGAUGAGGGAAUCCCAAGUGCUUGCACGUAAGUGUAAGCGUGUUUCUCUGUUUAAAACGCAGAGAGAGUAAGGGCUGGGUAAGACGGGUGCCAGCCGCCGCCGGUAAUACCUGCAGCUCAAGUGGUGACCGUUAUUAGUUGGGCCUAAAACGUCCGUAGCCGG